GGAGGCGGUGCUCUCCUGGCAUCAGCGCUGCGGCUGGAGGCACUGCUGGUGCUCCUGUCUGCUGUCCACUGCCACCUUGGCCUGUUUUUGCCACCCUGGCGCCCCGAACUCUGUGCCGCCGCACCCUUCACCCAGUCUUGGGACGGCUGGCGCUAAGAAUUCAUGCUAUGACCUUCGAUUCAGCCAGGAGGUGACACCAAGCUCGAUCAGAAACUAUGCCACUGGUGAAGAGGUAUAUUGAGCCCUGCGUGGCCCAGUGAGGUUACUAGAGAAUUGGAAGAGUCUCAAAUCAGCAUCCUGCACAUGGUUAUCAAACCAUUGUGAAGUCUUAUGGGUUCACCAGCAAGCCAGAAGGAAGCAUCACUGCCAUGGAUGUCCUUGUGAGGCAGUUGUGAAGCCUUGACAGGUUAUCAAACCAAGAGAAGUCCAAAACUCAGCCAAGAAUGGCCACCCAGUCUUCAGCCUCCAUUUGACUUUCCAUCUUGUCCACUGAGGAUAGCAGAGUUAAGUCAGGAAAAGAAAAUGGCUGUCCACAGAGGGAGAAUUGAUCACUGUCUGUUCUUCAAAGAUGCUUUUCUGGCCGUGGUUGGGGCUAUUAGUGCUCACUGCCUGGACAGAGACCUGUUUCAACAGGAGACUUCUUUGGGAUUGAGAAGCUUUCUUUCUACUUAUUGGCUUUCACCCUUGACUUGGCCUUGAAGUUUUGGAAUUUCUAGCUCUCAAGUUUUUUCAGGAGAGCUUUAGAAACAACUUGUCAAGUUUUCACCACAAAUACCAUUGGAGUUACAAUUGGAGUCUCACUGAAUUAUACAGUAAUUUUUGGAGAGCUAUCAUCUUUAUAAUCUUCUCAUACAUGAAUGUGCUUCUCUGCUGCCUUUUGAGCUGCCAGGCACUGUGCUGGGUGAUGGGGAUAUGGAGAUGAAUUAGACACAGUUUCUGCCCUCAAGGAGUUCUCAGUCUAGUGAGAGAGUUCGACUUGUACACAGAUAAUUACAGUAUGGUAUGCUCUACAAUGGAGGUAUGUACAAGAUACUCUGGGGUUCAGAAGAGAAAUCAUUUGACUGAAUCUGGAGAUGCAGAGGUUGGAGGAACUGAUGCUUAAGUUGAUUAUUUUAAAAAGUAAAGGUCAAAUAGGCAGAAAACAGAGGAAGUACCUUCUAAGCAAAGAUAUGAACAUUAGAAAUGGAAUGAUAAAUUGAGGGACUACAAGUAGUUUAUGAGAUUAGGUUGGAAAUGUGGGCUGAGAAUAAAUCCUUAUAUAGUAUGCUGUGAAAUUUGGAUUUCAUUUUGAGUGUUUUAAAAAGGGGAUGCUUUUGAUGGUCACUCUGACAGUAGUAUGGAGUAAGUUAUGGAAAAUUUUCAAAUUUGGAUAGGGAGAUCAGUUAGAUGAUAAAUGAUCAUCUUAGCCAGAAUAAGUGGGAAUGAAGAAGGAAUAACCUUUUAAAUAAGGGGUUAUACAAAACAUGGAUAUAGAAGUUCCCAUUGUGGCGUCAGCAGUAAUGAUCCUGACUAGUAUCCAUGAUAAUGUGGGUUCGAUCCUUGGUCUUGGUCAGCAGGUUAAGGAUCGGGCGUUGCUGUGAGCUGUGGUGUAGGUGGCAGAUGCAGCUUGGAUUCCAAGUUACUGUGACUGUGCGGAGGCUGGCAGCUGCAGCUCCGAUUCAACCCCUAGCCUGGGAACUUCCAUAUGCCGCAGGUGCGGCCCUAAAAAGAAAAAAAA
Molecule: long non-coding RNA, 1717 nt
Filed under: Sus scrofa (pig)
Lineage: Eukaryota; Metazoa; Chordata; Mammalia; Artiodactyla; Suidae
Description: lncRNA (ENSSSCG00035072393.1, ENSSSCG00055005250.1)
Source: RNAcentral